This 484-nucleotide ribosomal RNA is filed under the name uncultured bacterium. Its description in RNAcentral is "partial 16S ribosomal RNA". It matches the Rfam family "Bacterial small subunit ribosomal RNA", at positions 29 to 507 of the family's 1533-position model. The record is from RNAcentral.
AUUGAACGCUGGCGGCAUGCUUUACACAUGCAAGUCGAACGGCAGCGCGGGCUUCGGCCUGGCGGCGAGUGGCGAACGGGUGAGUAAUACAUCGGAACGUGCCCAGUAGUGGGGGAUAGCUCGGCGAAAGCCGGAUUAAUACCGCAUACGACCUGAGGGUGAAAGCGGGGGAUCUUCGGACCUCGCGCUAUUGGAGCGGCCGAUGGCAGACUAGCUAGUUGGUGGGGUAAAGGCCUACCAAGGCGACGAUCUGUAGCUGGUCUGAGAGGACGACCAGCCACACUGGGACUGAGACACGGCCCAGACUCCUACGGGAGGCAGCAGUGGGGAAUUUUGGACAAUGGGCGAAAGCCUGAUCCAGCAAUGCCGCGUGUGUGAUGAAGGCCUUCGGGUUGUAAAGCACUUUUGGCGGGAACGAAAAGGACUGUGCCAAUACCACGGUUCGAUGACGGUACCCGCAGAAUAAGCACCGGCUAACUACGUG